AAGUCGUAACAAGGUUUCCGUAGGUGAACCUGCGGAAGGAUCAUUAACACGUAUCCAACGUUAAACAACCCUGUGAACUUUCAGACGCUCUUGUAGCCCAGGAGGAACAGCAAUCCCGGUAAAUCAAUGGCGGAAAAGUUUUGAUUCGGGACCUCUGUCCAAAAGGUAUCAAGUUACAAUCGAGCUAGGAGCAGUGGCAUGGUUUCCCUAAGCAGUGCAGAAGGAUCCACUGAGUAAGGAUAACGCAGACAUGUCACAGGGCUUUACGCCCCUUCAUUCACCCCUUGCCUAAUCAAGCCCCGCGGAAACGCCGGGCAAAAAAAUCUGAACAACUGUUAACAAUGGAUAUCUUGGUUCUC
Molecule: unclassified non-coding RNA, 359 nt
Filed under: fungal sp.
Lineage: Eukaryota; Fungi
Description: partial internal transcribed spacer region
Rfam family: Eukaryotic small subunit ribosomal RNA (bases 1-46)
Source: RNAcentral